RNAcentral lists this long non-coding RNA (1293 nucleotides) under Erythranthe guttata (spotted monkey flower). RNAcentral's name for it is "long non-coding RNA (EGUT_LNC001756)". Lineage: Eukaryota; Viridiplantae; Streptophyta; Magnoliopsida; Lamiales; Phrymaceae. The record is from RNAcentral.
AAAGAAUCAAACAUAGUCAAAAUAUGAAUUCAAACCUAUCCUAUACGAACAAUGGAGUCUCUAUAGCCAUUAACACCACAUUUCUUUUCAUCUAUAACUCGUACAUCUUCGUUUCCUUCUCCAUCAACUUGUCUUAUUUAUGGCCUGAUAAAAUAAAAAAUUGAAGCAAUAAAAUAUACAUUCCCGCAAAAUUCAAAUACUAAUAUUUCUAAAAGCUAACAAGAAAUGUCUUUUAUAAUCACAAACUUAUGCAAAUCAGUUUACUAGAUAGGAACGAUGAUAAUACAUAAGAAUAUAGAUGCAUUCACUUCGGGAAAAAAUAAAUGAAAUUAAUGCAUGAACUAACUCAAGGAUCAAAGUGGGAAAAAAGUUUACCACAACGGAAGUAGCAAUCAGUUCAUCCAUAUCAAAAUAUGAUAAUCCAAUCAUUUUGUAAGCUGCAACAUAAAAAUGGACAACAUCUAUAGAGACAAGCAAUCAAAGUUAUGCACACAAUACAUAGAAUGUUAAGUAAACUUACAUUAAUAAUCAACAAUAACAAUUUACAUAAACUGUAAAUGUUGCAUGCUACUGCCACUGCCUAGACAACCUGUCUAAAAGAAUCUGAGAAAGCAAAUAUAGUAGUUAAUCAAGAUAUCAAUAAAAAUAUCACAUCAUAAAUUAAAGAUGUAAAUGGCUGAUAUUUUACAAAUCAUACCCGAUGAACAAUUCGAUGUACCAAUAAUAAAAUGAUAUAAUAAAAAAUAUAUAGCAUUUUCGAUACAAUUUUAUCCAUUUUAUUGGAGUUGAACAUAUAAUUGUAAUAUUAUGACUAGAUAGGCAAGCAAUAAUUUACCCGAGUGGCUUUCUACUUCAGCAACAUACAUUUGCAUCUUCUAAGUGUCCCUUAUAUUUGGCAUAUGUAAGUCACCUCAACUCUUGAGUCCUAAAAGUCAGUAAUUCGGUUAGUAAUGAAAAAAUAAUAUGUACAACCAACUAACAAAUUUGUUUGCUUCUGUGGAAACAUGUGAUAAAAUAAAGUUGUAGAGUGAAAUAUAUAAUAUAAGGGUGAAAUAUAAGUUUUACGUCACAAUAUUUUGCAGCUUAUUUGCAAUACAAGAAUGAGCAAAUUAAGAAGAACAUAGUCCUUACCUUGAAUCUUGACGUUCCCAGCAGUUUGAAUUUUAUUUGCAUCAGACAUUGAUACCUGUCCAUGAACAAGUAAAUUGGAUCAUAGAAUUUAAUCAACACAAGAAUAAUAAUCUAAAUAUUAAAAAUAUUUUAAAGUUAGCUAUUGAAUCCAUUCAUCAUUAC